RNAcentral lists this ribosomal RNA (245 nucleotides) under uncultured bacterium. Its description in RNAcentral is "partial 16S ribosomal RNA". It matches the Rfam family "Bacterial small subunit ribosomal RNA", at positions 796 to 1041 of the family's 1533-position model. The record is from RNAcentral.
CAUACUGUAAACGAUGAUUACUAGGUGUGGGGGGACUGACCCCUUCCGUGCCGGAGUUAACACAAUAAGUAAUCCACCUGGGGAGUACGACCGCAAGGUUGAAACUCAAAGGAAUUGACGGGGGCCCGCACAAGCAGUGGAGUAUGUGGUUUAAUUCGAAGCAACGCGAAGAACCUUACCAGGUCUUGACAUCUCCUGCAUACCAUAGAGAUAUGGGAAGCCCUUCGGGGCAGGAAGACAGGUGG